GGGUUGUGAGGUUAAGCGACUAAGCGUACACGGUGGAUGCCCUGGCAGUCAGAGGCGAUGAAGGACGUGCUAAUCUGCGAUAAGCGUCGGUAAGGUGAUAUGAACCGUUAUAACCGGCGAUUUCCGAAUGGGGAAACCCAGUGUGAUUCGUCACACUAUCAUUAACUGAAUCCAUAGGUUAAUGAGGCGAACCGGGGGAACUGAAACAUCUAAGUACCCCGAGGAAAAGAAAUCAACCGAGAUUCCCCCAGUAGCGGCGAGCGAACGGGGAGCAGCCCAGAGCCUGAAUCAGUGUGUGUGUUAGUGGAAGCGUCUGGAAAGGCGCGCGAUACAGGGUGACAGCCCCGUACACAAAAAUGCACAUACUGUGAGCUCGAUGAGUAGGGCGGGACACGUGGUAUCCUGUCUGAAUAUGGGGGGACCAUCCUCCAAGGCUAAAUACUCCUGACUGACCGAUAGUGAACCAGUACCGUGAGGGAAAGGCGAAAAGAACCCCGGCGAGGGGAGUGAAAAAGAACCUGAAACCGUGUACGUACAAGCAGUGGGAGCACAGAGCAAUCUGUGUGACUGCGUACCUUUUGUAUAAUGGGUCAGCGACUUAUAUUCUGUAGCAAGGUUAACCGAAUAGGGGAGCCGAAGGGAAACCGAGUCUUAACUGGGCGUUAAGUUGCAGGGUAUAGACCCGAAACCCGGUGAUCUAGCCAUGGGCAGGUUGAAGGUUGGGUAACACUAACUGGAGGACCGAACCGACUAAUGUUGAAAAAUUAGCGGAUGACUUGUGGCUGGGGGUGAAAGGCCAAUCAAACCGGGAGAUAGCUGGUUCUCCCCGAAAGCUAUUUAGGUAGCGCCUCGUGAAUUCAUCUCCGGGGGUAGAGCACUGUUUCGGCAAGGGGGUCAUCCCGACUUACCAACCCGAUGCAAACUGCGAAUACCGGAGAAUGUUAUCACGGGAGACACACGGCGGGUGCUAACGUCCGUCGUGAAGAGGGAAACAACCCAGACCGCCAGCUAAGGUCCCAAAGUCAUGGUUAAGUGGGAAACGAUGUGGGAAGGCCCAGACAGCCAGGAUGUUGGCUUAGAAGCAGCCAUCAUUUAAAGAAAGCGUAAUAGCUCACUGGUCGAGUCGGCCUGCGCGGAAGAUGUAACGGGGCUAAACCAUGCACCGAAGCUGCGGCAGCGACGCUGAUGCGUUGUUGGGUAGGGGAGCGUUCUGUAAGCCUGUGAAGGUGUGCUGUGAGGCAUGCUGGAGGUAUCAGAAGUGCGAAUGCUGACAUAAGUAACGAUAAAGCGGGUGAAAAGCCCGCUCGCCGGAAGACCAAGGGUUCCUGUCCAACGUUAAUCGGGGCAGGGUGAGUCGACCCCUAAGGCGAGGCCGAAAGGCGUAGUCGAUGGGAAACAGGUUAAUAUUCCUGUACUUGGUGUUACUGCGAAGGGGGGACGGAGAAGGCUAUGUUGGCCGGGCG
Molecule: ribosomal RNA, 1463 nt
Filed under: Escherichia coli
Lineage: Bacteria; Pseudomonadati; Pseudomonadota; Gammaproteobacteria; Enterobacterales; Enterobacteriaceae
Description: partial 23S ribosomal RNA
Rfam family: Bacterial large subunit ribosomal RNA
Source: RNAcentral